AACGCGAAGAACCUUACCAAGUCUUGACAUCCUUUGACCACCCUAGAGAUAGGGCUUUCCCUUCGGGGACAAAGUGACAGGUGGUGCAUGGUUGUCGUCAGCUCGUGUCGUGAGAUGUUGGGUUAAGUCCCGCAACGAGCGCAACCCUUGCCUUUAGUUGCCAUCAUUAAGUUGGGCACUCUAGAGGGACUGCCAGGGAUAACCUGGAGGAAGGUGGGGAUGACGUCAAAUCAUCAUGCCCCUUAUGCUUAGGGCUACACACGUGCUACAAUGGGUGGUACAGAGGGCAGCCAAGUCGUGAGGCGGAGCUAAUCCCUUAAAGCCAUUCUCAGUUCGGAUUGUAGGCUGAAACUCGCCUACAUGAAGCUGGAGUUACUAGUAAUCGCAGAUCAGAAUGCUGCGGUGAAUGCGUUCCCGGGUCUUGUACACACCG
This 433-nucleotide ribosomal RNA is filed under the name uncultured bacterium. Its description in RNAcentral is "bacterial SSU rRNA". It matches the Rfam family "Bacterial small subunit ribosomal RNA", at positions 958 to 1392 of the family's 1533-position model. The record is from RNAcentral.